GACGAACGCUGGCGGCGUGCUUAACACAUGCAAGUCGAACGGACAGGCCCUGCUUUUGUGGGGUGCUCGAUUGGCGAACGGGUGAGUAACACGUGAGUAACCUGCCCUUGUCUUUGGGAUAACUUCAGGAAACUGGGGCUCAUACCGGAUAGGAUCUCCUGCUGCACGGUGGGGGUUGGAAAGUUUCGGCGGUUGUGGCUGGACUCGCGGCUUAUCCGCUUGUUGGUGGGGUAGUGGCUUACCAAGGCUUUGACGGGUAGCCGGCCUGAGAGGGUGACCGGCGACAUGGCGACUGAGAUACGGAGCAGACGCGUACGGGAGGCAGUAGGGGGGAGCAUUGCGCAGUGGGCGGAAGCCUGUGGCAGCAACGUCGCGUGCGGGAUGACGGCCUUCGAGUGGUAAACAGCUGUCGCCUGUGACGAAGAGUGAGUGACGGUAAUGGGUAAAAAAGCACCGGCUAACUACGUG
This 468-nucleotide ribosomal RNA is filed under the name uncultured bacterium. RNAcentral's name for it is "partial 16S ribosomal RNA". It matches the Rfam family "Bacterial small subunit ribosomal RNA", at positions 28 to 507 of the family's 1533-position model. The record is from RNAcentral.